Acanthosepion pharaonis is the source of this 113-nucleotide non-coding RNA. NCBI's taxonomy places the organism in Eukaryota, Metazoa, Mollusca, Cephalopoda, Sepiida, Sepiidae. The record is from the annotation of a GenBank genome assembly.
UACGGAUAUAUCAGGUUUAAACACCGGUUUCCAUACGAUGACCGAAGUUAAGCAACACCGAACCUAGUCAGUACCUAGAUGGGUAACCGCUUGGAAAUAACAGAUGCUGCAAG